ACUGGGGAUAAUUCCGGAUAGGUCACAGAUGCUGGAAUGCACUGUGGCUCAAAGCUCCGGCGCCGAAGGAUGGGUCUGCGGCCUAUCAGGGUUGUAGUGGGUGUAAUGUACCUACUAGCCUACGACGGGUACGGGUUGUGAGAGCAAGAGCCCGGAGAUGGAUUCUGAGACACGAAUCCAGGCCCUACGGGGUGCAGCAGGCGCGAAAACUUUACAAUGCGGGAAACCGUGAUAAGGGAAUCUCGAGUGCCAGCAUAUAAUGUUGGCUGUCCAGAUGCCUAAAAAGCAUCUGUUAGCAAGGGCCGGGCAAGACCGGUGCCAGCCGCCGCGGUAACACCGGCGGCCCGAGUGGUAACCGCUUUUAUUGGGUCUAAAGGGUCUGUAGCCGGCCAUGUAAGUCCCUUGGGAAAUCUGGCAGCUCAACUGUCAGGCUGCUAGGGGAUACCGCUUGGCUUGGGACCGGGAGAGGUGAGAGGUACCUUGAGGGUAGGGGUGAAAUCUUGUGAUCCUCGGGGGACCACCAGUGGCGAAGGCGUCUCACCAGAACGGGUCCGACGGUAAGGGACGAAAGCUAGGGGCACGAACCGGAUUAGAUACCCGGGUAGUCCUAGCCGUAAACGGUGCUCGCUAGGUGUCAGUCACGGUGCGACCGUGAUUGGUGCCGUAGGGAAGCCGUGAAGCGAGCCACCUGGGAAGUACGGCCGCAAGGCUGAAACUUAAAGGAAUUGGCGGGGGAGCACUACAACGGGUGGAGCCUGCGGUUUAAUUGAUC
RNAcentral lists this ribosomal RNA (772 nucleotides) under uncultured archaeon. RNAcentral's name for it is "bacterial SSU rRNA". It matches the Rfam family "Archaeal small subunit ribosomal RNA", at positions 139 to 911 of the family's 1478-position model. The record is from RNAcentral.